AGAGUUUGAUCCUGGCUCAGGAUGAACGCUAGCGACAGGCCUAACACAUGCAAGUCGAGGGGCAGCAUUUCUAGCUUGCUAGAAGAUGGCGACCGGCGCACGGGUGAGUAACGCGUAUGCAACCUACCUUAUACUGGGGGAUAGCCCAGAGAAAUCUGGAUUAAUACCGCAUAACAUAUUUGAAUCGCAUGGUUUGAAUAUUAAAACUCCGGUGGUAUAAGAUGGGCAUGCGUAGCAUUAGUUAGUUGGUGAGGUAACGGCUCACCAAGACGAUGAUGCUUAGGGGGUCUGAGAGGAUAGUCCCCCACACUGGUACUGAGACACGGACCAGACUCCUACGGGAGGCAGCAGUGAGGAAUAUUGGUCAAUGGGCGAAAGCCUGAACCAGCCAUGUCGCGUGCAGGAUGACGGCCCUAUGGGUUGUAAACUGCUUUUUUACAGGAAUAAUUGUCGCUACGUGUAGUGAUUUGAAUGUACUGUAUGAAUAAGAUCGCUAACU
Molecule: ribosomal RNA, 499 nt
Filed under: uncultured bacterium
Lineage: Bacteria
Description: bacterial SSU rRNA
Rfam family: Bacterial small subunit ribosomal RNA
Source: RNAcentral